RNAcentral lists this ribosomal RNA (465 nucleotides) under uncultured bacterium. RNAcentral describes it as "bacterial SSU rRNA". It matches the Rfam family "Bacterial small subunit ribosomal RNA", at positions 330 to 792 of the family's 1533-position model. The record is from RNAcentral.
CCCAGACUCCUACGGGAGGCAGCAGUGAGGAAUAUUGGUCAAUGGGCUCACGCCUGAACCAGCCAAGUCGCGUGAGGGAAGACUGCCCUAUGGGUUGUAAACCUCUUUUGUCAGGGAGCAAUUGGCGCUACGUGUAGCGUUAUCGAGAGUACCUGAAGAAAAAGCAUCGGCUAACUCCGUGCCAGCAGCCGCGGUAAUACGGAGGAUGCGAGCGUUAUCCGGAUUUAUUGGGUUUAAAGGGUGCGUAGGCGGAAUAUCAAGUCAGCGGUAAAAAUUCGGGGCUCAACCCCGUCGUGCCGUUGAAACUGAUGUUCUUGAGUGGGCGAGAAGUAUGCGGAAUGCGUGGUGUAGCGGUGAAAUGCAUAGAUAUCACGCAGAACUCCGAUUGCGAAGGCAGCAUACCGGCGCCCAACUGACGCUGAAGCACGAAAGCGUGGGUAUCGAACAGGAUUAGAUACCCUAGUA